This 516-nucleotide ribosomal RNA is filed under the name uncultured bacterium. RNAcentral describes it as "bacterial SSU rRNA". It matches the Rfam family "Bacterial small subunit ribosomal RNA", at positions 993 to 1509 of the family's 1533-position model. The record is from RNAcentral.
GAACUUUCCAGAGAUGGAUUGGUGCCUUCGGGAACUCUGAGACAGGUGCUGCAUGGCUGUCGUCAGCUCGUGUUGUGAAAUGUUGGGUUAAGUCCCGCAACGAGCGCAACCCUUAUCCUUUGUUGCCAGCGGUUAGGCCGGGAACUCAAAGGAGACUGCCAGUGAUAAACUGGAGGAAGGUGGGGAUGACGUCAAGUCAUCAUGGCCCUUACGAGUAGGGCUACACACGUGCUACAAUGGCGCAUACAAAGAGAAGCGACCUCGCGAGAGCAAGCGGACCUCAUAAAGUGCGUCGUAGUCCGGAUUGGAGUCUGCAACUCGACUCCAUGAAGUCGGAAUCGCUAGUAAUCGUGGAUCAGAAUGCCACGGUGAAUACGUUCCCGGGCCUUGUACACACCGCCCGUCACACCAUGGGAGCGGGUUGCAAAAGAAGUAGGUAGCUUAACCUUCGGGAGGGCGCUUACCACUUUGUGAUUCAUGACUGGGGUGAAGUCGUAACAAGGUAGGCGUAGAUGA